CCCAUCCCCCUCAAGCUCUCCUUCUCCUCCAACAACAUCAUUUCCAGCUCACCCGCUUAGAUCGGAUCUAUUUUCUGCCACCCUCAUCCCCUCUUCUUUCACCUUUAAUUUCAUCUAACACCACCUGCUUUGCCUUUCGAUCAUCCCCAAUUAAAAAAAUUCACACAAACCAAAACCACCCACCCUCAAAAAGAGAGAAAACCCCAUUAUUGGUUUUGGCUUUUAAUUUCAUAAUGAACAACAACAACACAAACAAGCUCAGAUAAAAAAAAAUUUAAAAACUCAACCCCCUCAUUUCAGCAUGAGCUCUGUUUCAUGUCUGAACCACAUAACCCUCGAAACCACCGUCGGUGAUGUGGAGAGGAUUGAGAAGUUCUUCGGCUAGCCAUCGGUCUUCGUUCUUCGACAAGAAGCGCAAGUCAUCCCCAGGACGAAUUGAGAUCUUACAAGGUGUAUAGCUCUCAUCAAGCUUGAAAUCCAGAUAAGAAACAACACGCCGAUUUUGUUUUGUUUUUUUUUUUUUGGUGAGAAAAAACAAAACCCAUUAGUCAAAAUCAAAAUUUGGAUUUUUUUUUUAAAAUAUUUUUUAAUGAGAAAAUAAGGUUAAAGAACCCCAAAAGAACAAACACACAGACAACACUACAUUAUCCAAAUGGCCCUUAGCAGCCCCCAGCGAAUCAUCAAUCAGCAGUUUGUCAAGCCAAACAGGACUUUCAUUGAGGUACCAAUAUCCCAGGUCGAGGUUGUGACUCCAAGUAGCUCAACCAUCUGCAACAGAAUUCCUCUCUCUAUAAAUGUGAUGAAUUUCAACCCUUCUAAACUGGUUCAUGAUUCUCUUGCAGAAACGUUCACACAUACUUGGAGCUUCACUUUCUUCUGGAAUUGAAUGUUUACUAAAUGAGGUUGCGCACUAACCGAUUUGCAAAUGAAGUUGGCCAUCGUGAGGUUUACAACAAGACACAGAGCUGGCCAUCGUGAAAACUCCAAUAUACCCCUCACAACAAGAGCACGUGCCAUUCACAUGGUCAAACUCGACGGAUUCUGUUACGGCAUGACUCAAUUGAAACUAUUUGUCGAGUUAAAGAAUGUAAUUGCCUCAAAAAAAAAGUUCGUGACCCAAUUACAAAUGGGGGCAAAAUUCAAAGACGUCUACAGUAAAUAACCCUAACUAUUAAAAUUACAUUACCUUUUUU
Molecule: long non-coding RNA, 1193 nt
Filed under: Prunus dulcis (almond)
Lineage: Eukaryota; Viridiplantae; Streptophyta; Magnoliopsida; Rosales; Rosaceae
Description: sRNA ncRNA
Source: RNAcentral